RNAcentral lists this ribosomal RNA (520 nucleotides) under uncultured Glomus. RNAcentral's name for it is "SSU rRNA". It matches the Rfam family "Eukaryotic small subunit ribosomal RNA", at positions 569 to 1093 of the family's 1831-position model. The record is from RNAcentral. Lineage: Eukaryota; Fungi; Glomeromycota; Glomeromycetes; Glomerales; Glomeraceae.
AGCAGCCGCGGUAAUUCCAGCUCCAAUAGCGUAUAUUAAAGUUGUUGCAGUUAAAAAGCUCGUAGUUGAAUUUCGGGGCCAGUAGGUUGGUCGUGCCACUGGUAUGCACUGGCCUCACUGGUCCCUCCUUCUUGUAGAACCGUGAUGGCAUUAAUUUGUUGUUGCGGGGAAACAGGACUGUUACUUUGAAAAAAUUAGAGUGCUUAAAGCAGGCUCGCGCUUGAAUACAUUAGCAUGGAAUAACGAAAUAGGACGAUCGAACCUAUUUUGUUGGUUUCUAGGAUCGACGUAAUGAUUAAUAGGGAUAGUUGGGGGCAUUAGUAUUCAAUUGUCAGAGGUGAAAUUCUUGGAUUUAUUGAAGACUAACUACUGCGAAAGCAUUUGCCAAGGAUGUUUUCAUUAAUCAAGAACGAAAGUUAGGGAUCGAAGACGAUCAGAUACCGUCGUAGUCUUAACCAUAAACUAUGCCGACUAGGGACCGAUGAAGUUAAUUUUUAAUGACUCAUUCGGCGCCUUACGG